This 744-nucleotide ribosomal RNA is filed under the name Citrobacter freundii. RNAcentral describes it as "bacterial SSU rRNA". It matches the Rfam family "Bacterial small subunit ribosomal RNA", at positions 778 to 1522 of the family's 1533-position model. The record is from RNAcentral. Lineage: Bacteria; Pseudomonadati; Pseudomonadota; Gammaproteobacteria; Enterobacterales; Enterobacteriaceae.
UUAGAUACCCUGGUAGUCCACGCCGUAAACGAUGUCGACUUGGAGGUUGUGCCCUUGAGGCGUGGCUUCCGGAGCUAACGCGUUAAGUCGACCGCCUGGGGAGUACGGCCGCAAGGUUAAAACUCAAAUGAAUUGACGGGGGCCCGCACAAGCGGUGGAGCAUGUGGUUUAAUUCGAUGCAACGCGAAGAACCUUACCUACUCUUGACAUCCAGAGAACUUAGCAGAGAUGCUUUGGUGCCUUCGGGAACUCUGAGACAGGUGCUGCAUGGCUGUCGUCAGCUCGUGUUGUGAAAUGUUGGGUUAAGUCCCGCAACGAGCGCAACCCUUAUCCUUUGUUGCCAGCGGUUAGGCCGGGAACUCAAAGGAGACUGCCAGUGAUAAACUGGAGGAAGGUGGGGAUGACGUCAAGUCAUCAUGGCCCUUACGAGUAGGGCUACACACGUGCUACAAUGGCAUAUACAAAGAGAAGCGACCUCGCGAGAGCAAGCGGACCUCAUAAAGUAUGUCGUAGUCCGGAUUGGAGUCUGCAACUCGACUCCAUGAAGUCGGAAUCGCUAGUAAUCGUGGAUCAGAAUGCCACGGUGAAUACGUUCCCGGGCCUUGUACACACCGCCCGUCACACCAUGGGAGUGGGUUGCAAAAGAAGUAGGUAGCUUAACCUUCGGGAGGGCGCUUACCACUUUGUGAUUCAUGACUGGGGUGAAGUCGUAACAAGGUAACCGUAGGGGAACCUGCGGUUGGA